ACCUGGGUGGCUCAGUUGGUUAAGCAUCUGACUUCAGCUCAGGUCAUGAUCUCACGGUUUGUGGGUUCGAGCCCCACAUCAGGUG
This 85-nucleotide transfer RNA is filed under the name Felis catus (domestic cat). It matches the Rfam family "tRNA". Rfam says of the family: Transfer RNA (tRNA) molecules are approximately 80 nucleotides in length. Their secondary structure includes four short double-helical elements and three loops (D, anti-codon, and T loops). Lineage: Eukaryota; Metazoa; Chordata; Mammalia; Carnivora; Felidae. The record is from Rfam by way of RNAcentral.